RNAcentral lists this ribosomal RNA (882 nucleotides) under Ligilactobacillus murinus. Its description in RNAcentral is "bacterial SSU rRNA". It matches the Rfam family "Bacterial small subunit ribosomal RNA", at positions 1 to 848 of the family's 1533-position model. Lineage: Bacteria; Bacillati; Bacillota; Bacilli; Lactobacillales; Lactobacillaceae. The record is from RNAcentral.
UUAAAUUGAGAGUUUGAUCCUGGCUCAGGAUGAACGCUGGCGGCGUGCCUAAUACAUGCAAGUCGAACGAAACUUCUUUAUCACCGAGUGCUUGCACUCACCGAUAAAGAGUUGAGUGGCGAACGGGUGAGUAACACGUGGGCAACCUGCCCAAAAGAGGGGGAUAACACUUGGAAACAGGUGCUAAUACCGCAUAACCAUAGUUACCGCAUGGUAACUAUGUAAAAGGUGGCUAUGCUACCGCUUUUGGAUGGGCCCGCGGCGCAUUAGCUAGUUGGUGGGGUAAAGGCUUACCAAGGCAAUGAUGCGUAGCCGAACUGAGAGGUUGAUCGGCCACAUUGGGACUGAGACACGGCCCAAACUCCUACGGGAGGCAGCAGUAGGGAAUCUUCCACAAUGGGCGAAAGCCUGAUGGAGCAACGCCGCGUGGGUGAAGAAGGUCUUCGGAUCGUAAAACCCUGUUGUUAGAGAAGAAAGUGCGUGAGAGUAACUGUUCACGUUUCGACGGUAUCUAACCAGAAAGCCACGGCUAACUACGUGCCAGCAGCCGCGGUAAUACGUAGGUGGCAAGCGUUAUCCGGAUUUAUUGGGCGUAAAGGGAACGCAGGCGGUCUUUUAAGUCUGAUGUGAAAGCCUUCGGCUUAACCGGAGUAGUGCAUUGGAAACUGGGAGACUUGAGUGCAGAAGAGGAGAGUGGAACUCCAUGUGUAGCGGUGAAAUGCGUAGAUAUAUGGAAGAACACCAGUGGCGAAAGCGGCUCUCUGGUCUGUAACUGACGCUGAGGUUCGAAAGCGUGGGUAGCAAACAGGAUUAGAUACCCUGGUAGUCCACGCCGUAAACGAUGAAUGCUAAGUGUUGGAGGGUUUCCGCCCUUCAGUGCUG